This is a long non-coding RNA of Anguilla rostrata (American eel), 591 nucleotides long. RefSeq lists it as uncharacterized. The record is from RefSeq and is a predicted model, not a curated record. NCBI's taxonomy places the organism in Eukaryota, Metazoa, Chordata, Actinopteri, Anguilliformes, Anguillidae. The transcript has 3 exons.
GUUGGGCCGUACAGCUGGAUUUUCGGAAGGCAGUUCUGAUAGGCUUCAACCACACCCUGGAUACCUGUAACAAAUGCCACAAGAUGCCAGAUGAGUAAUGAGUCUUGUACCAGCUAGAAAAAAUGGUUAAACUGGGCGACCUAUGCUGAGGCUUCCAAUAUCAUCGCUACGUGAAGACCAUGCUUAGAACGGAGAAGGAAAGAGCGCUGGCUCUCCUGCAACAUUGCGAGGCCCGUGGUGCAUCGGAGGAGCACAUAGUAUGUGCUUCAGCAAUUCUCAUCGUGCUCUUUCGGGCAGAAAAGCUGUCAAUGAAGAGGCACCCCUGCCAAUUCCAAACGUCUGAGACCUGUUUAAAUUACUGAAUAAAGAUCAUCUCAUCUAUAAGGUCUCAUUGUAGUUCCUGCAGUUUAUUGGUUCAAUCAACAGCUUCAUUAGAUAAACUAAGGUUAAUUAAAAGAUAUCAUUACUUUGGAGGGCAGUGAACUAAUGACUAGCAGAGGGUAAGGACAAAGAAACUUUAAACAAAGGGAAAUUAAGGCUAGAUUAAUCAAUCAAUGCGGUGAUUUAGAGUGAAUGACAUCCACCAAGUGA